This 708-nucleotide long non-coding RNA is filed under the name Sorghum bicolor (sorghum). RNAcentral's name for it is "long non-coding RNA (SBIC_LNC009008)". Lineage: Eukaryota; Viridiplantae; Streptophyta; Magnoliopsida; Poales; Poaceae. The record is from RNAcentral.
UUGCAGGGUUGCCCGGAUCUGGCGCAUGGUCCUCUCCAGUUUCCUCAGCUCAUCCAGAUCUUCUCUCCAGUUUCCUCAGCUCAACCAGAUCUUCCCUCCUGGCAAUUGAGUCAUGGAUAGACCACCUUGUGUAAUUCUGUUGAUUUUCUUUGUUUCCUUUUUUUUUCUCCUAAACUCCCUUUCUUUGGUCCUAGGGCUGUAAUCUUUAAGUUUUUUUCAUGUAAUCUCCUUAAUUACUUUGUUGUUUCUUCUCGAACCCUUUUUAUUUAUUUGCUAAUAUAUUUUUCAGUAGAGGCCCCUUGGGUCUCUCAUGUUUCCUAAAAAAAAAGACGCCUAGGAAGGAGGAUAGCUUUUCCCAUGCCCUCCCUAGCGACAGAGACGCAAACAUGUCCCGACACCGUCGUCAGUGGUGGCUCUCCUCAGCUUGUUCUUGCAGUAGGGUGGAGAGUAGCGGAAGAAGAGGAGGGGUAUAGUAUUAGGUAUUACAAGACUCCCCGUCACAUCGAAUCUUGUGGCACAUAUAUGAAAUAUUAAAUAUAGAUAAAAAAAUAACUAAUUACAUAGUUUAUCUGUAAAUCACGAGACGAAUCUUUUAAGCCUAGUUACUCUAUAAUUAGACAAUAUUUGUCAAAUAAAAAUGAAAAUGCUACAGUGUCAAAAUCCAAAAACUUUUUGUAUCUAAACAAGACCUUAGCACUGUUCGCCUAA